RNAcentral lists this long non-coding RNA (209 nucleotides) under Elaeis guineensis (African oil palm). Its description in RNAcentral is "long non-coding RNA (EGUI_LNC032193)". The record is from RNAcentral. Lineage: Eukaryota; Viridiplantae; Streptophyta; Magnoliopsida; Arecales; Arecaceae.
GCUUUAUAUAUCAUAUUGAUAUCACUUAUUUUUGAUGCAGAUAAUACUUUGAAAGGUUUAUCGACUAAGCUGCCUAACAAAGAAUCUAGACAACCGAUGAUUAUGAUACAUUUGGCAUGAGGUAUGCUAAACAACUGAUACAUUUGACAUGUGGUAUGUUAUGGCUUCUUGUUCUUAUUCCCAUAUGAUGUUUUAAAGCUGAUGGGUGU